Molecule: ribosomal RNA, 538 nt
Filed under: Campylobacter coli
Lineage: Bacteria; Pseudomonadati; Campylobacterota; Epsilonproteobacteria; Campylobacterales; Campylobacteraceae
Description: bacterial SSU rRNA
Rfam family: Bacterial small subunit ribosomal RNA
Source: RNAcentral
UUGAUAUCCUAAGAACCUUUUAGAGAUAAGAGGGUGCUAGCUUGCUAGAACUUAGAGACAGGUGCUGCACGGCUGUCGUCAGCUCGUGUCGUGAGAUGUUGGGUUAAGUCCCGCAACGAGCGCAACCCACGUAUUUAGUUGCUAACGGUUCGGCCGAGCACUCUAAAUAGACUGCCUUCGUAAGGAGGAGGAAGGUGUGGACGACGUCAAGUCAUCAUGGCCCUUAUGCCCAGGGCGACACACGUGCUACAAUGGCAUAUACAAUGAGACGCAAUACCGCGAGGUGGAGCAAAUCUAUAAAAUAUGUCCCAGUUCGGAUUGUUCUCUGCAACUCGAGAGCAUGAAGCCGGAAUCGCUAGUAAUCGUAGAUCAGCCAUGCUACGGUGAAUACGUUCCCGGGUCUUGUACUCACCGCCCGUCACACCAUGGGAGUUGAUUUCACUCGAAGCCGGAAUACUAAACUAGUUACCGUCCACAGUGGAAUCAGCGACUGGGGUGAAGUCGUAACAAGGUAACCGUAGGAGAACCUGCGGUUGGA